RNAcentral lists this ribosomal RNA (477 nucleotides) under Seleuca cf. setosula MB-2015. RNAcentral's name for it is "partial 16S ribosomal RNA". Lineage: Eukaryota; Metazoa; Arthropoda; Insecta; Coleoptera; Curculionidae. The record is from RNAcentral.
GUUAUUAAAAACAUGUCCUUUUGAUUAUAAUUUAAGGUCUAACCUGCCCAAUGAUAAUUUUAAUGGCUGCAGUAUUUUAACUGUACUAAGGUAGCAUAAUCAAUAGUUUUUUAAUUGAAAGCUGGAAUGAAAGGUUGAAUGAAAAAAUUACUGUCUCUGUUUAAAUUUUUUAGAAUUUUAUUUUUAAGUUAAAAAGCUUAAAUGUUUAUAGAAGACGAGAAGACCCUAUAGAGUUUUAUAUAUAAUAGUUUUAAAAUAUUUUAGUAUUAAAUAUUUUAAUAUAAUUUUAUAUUUAAUUGGGGUGAUUUUAAAAUUUAAUGAACUUUUUUUAUAUAGAAUCAUUGAUUAAUGAAAAUGUGAUCCUUUUAUAAAGAUUAAUAGAAUAAAUUACCUUAGGGAUAACAGCGUAAUUUUUUUAUAGAGUUCAAAUCGAAAAAAAAGAUUGCGACCUCGAUGUUGGAUUAAAAUAAAUUAUUA